UUUUAUUACUAUCUUUAUGGCAUUUUAUGCGUUUUUGCCUCUUGCUACUCUUUAUGCUUUAUUUUCACUAACAAGUUUAUUUCCAUGUUUCAUGCAUCUCAUUUAGCAUUCCCUCCACUAUCCUUAGCCUAGCAUUUAUUUUUGUAAGUUUUAAUUCAUUUGGUGAUGUAAUUUGCUAUCAUUGAUUUGUAGCUUGGCAAAGGGGCCAUAGAAUGUAUUUAGGGAAUUUUUGUAAUAUGGACUAUGGACACUAUGACGCACCGGCACGCACACACUCACCUUAGAUGUAUGCAUAGGAUUGUAUGGUUAGAUGAAUGCUUAGGCUUAAACACUUAGAUAAAAAUCAACUUUUUUUCAA
RNAcentral lists this long non-coding RNA (358 nucleotides) under Medicago truncatula (barrel medic). Its description in RNAcentral is "lncRNA gene16443". The record is from RNAcentral. Lineage: Eukaryota; Viridiplantae; Streptophyta; Magnoliopsida; Fabales; Fabaceae.